GACGAACGCUGGCGGCGUGCCUAAUACAUGCAAGUCGAGCGCAGGAAGCUGACGGAACUCUUCGGAGGGAAGGCAGUGGAAUGAGCGGCGGACGGGUGAGUAACACGUAAGGAACCUGCCUCAAGGAUUGGGAUAACUCCGAGAAAUCGGAGCUAAUACCGGAUAGUUCAACGGACCGCAUGGUCCGCUGAUGAAAGGCGCUUCGGCGUCACCUUGAGAUGGCCUUGCGGUGCAUUAGCUAGUUGGUGGGGUAACGGCCCACCAAGGCGACGAUGGAUGGCCGACCUGAGAGGGUGAUCGGCCACACUGGGACUGGGACACGGCCCAGACUCCUACGGGAGGCAGCAGUAGGGAAUCUUCCACAAUGGACGAAAGUCUGAUGGAGCAACGCCGCGUGAGUGAUGAAGGUUUUCGGAUUGUAAAACUCUGUUGUAAGGGAAGAACACGUACGAGAGGAAAUGCUCGUACCUUGACGGUACCUUACGAGAAAGCCACGGCUAACUACGUGCCAGCCGCCGCAGUAA
Molecule: ribosomal RNA, 524 nt
Filed under: uncultured bacterium
Lineage: Bacteria
Description: partial 16S ribosomal RNA
Rfam family: Bacterial small subunit ribosomal RNA
Source: RNAcentral